Long non-coding RNA from Corvus hawaiiensis (hawaiian crow), 5972 nucleotides. RefSeq lists it as uncharacterized. The transcript has 2 exons. NCBI's taxonomy places the organism in Eukaryota, Metazoa, Chordata, Aves, Passeriformes, Corvidae. The record is from RefSeq and is a predicted model, not a curated record.
GCGGCACCGGCAGCAGCGCCCCGGGCCGCGCUGCCCGGCACCGGCCGCGCCGGGACGAGGAGCAGGAGGAGGAGGAGGAGCUCCCGGAGCCGAGGAGGAGCAGAGCUGGGGCCGGGGGGGCCGCCCGCCAGCCCUGCCCCGCGCCGGGAGCGCCGGCUGCGCACAGGUGGCAUCCCGGGCUGCCGCCGUCCGCGGGGAAUUCCUGCUGCUCUGCGAAUCUGGGCUCUUUGGUUGGAGAAGAGGGAUUGCAAGUGUCCAUUAAAGCAUAAAUCCCACCCCGGCUCUGUUCCCGAUCUACGCAGAGGCUCCAGGAGAGCUAAGCCCGUGCUCUGUUCCCGGGCACCCCUGCAGCGCACGGCAGCCUUUAGCACACUGGUUUAUUAUCACAGCUUUGGAGAAUAUUGCCGAGCUCUACUUCUUAAUGAAAUUUGUUUGACAUCUGGGUGGAAGUUACUCUGUGUGGAUGUAAUCUCCGUUUUAAAGCAGUGAAUUAAAUCUCGGUGCCAGGGUUCGGGAGUCACCAGCAGCUCAAGCUCUGUUACAGACUCUUGAGUGAACGCUCCCAUCCCGUGUGCUGUUGCCCCCCGUGGGUGCAGAGAUCAUGAUGCUUCUGGGCUCUGAUUUCCCUUCCCUGCCGAGGCACUGCUCUUGGAGGGAAUUUCCUGCAGGUGAUGUCCCGCACCUCCGCGCGGGAGGGGGACAGUCACCUCAAAGGGACAGGGGCUGUGGGCAUUGUGCACUACACCCGGAGCACUGCGGGGUCUCAUUUCAAGCAAAGUCCUUUGUUGCUAUGGUAAUACAAAUGAAAAAUCUAUACUAUGGUAAUUUUAGCAAAAACACCUCUUUUUUCCCCUAAACUAAAUCGGACUGUGGUUCAGGAUUGUGUGGGCACACAGAAAUAGUCGUGCUGAUAUCCCUCAGCCGGAGCUGUUGAACAGCAGUUGUGUAGAGGGCUGUCAGCGACUGGGGCUGUCAGCUUGGGCUGCUUUUCCCUGAUACUGCAUAGGAUUUUUAUUUGGCUUUGGAAAGGUUUCUUAGCAGGCGCUCAGCCUUUGUGUGUAGCAGGGAGGUGAUUGGUUUUACUGACCACAGUGACAGCUACGAGAGUUUUGUGCAGUAGUCUGUAAUAAUCUUGCUAAUGAAAGCCUGUAUUUUAAAAGUCUUUGCUGUCAAAGAGGAAGGGCAUAUUAAGUAGGGUCUCCCAGGGAUUAAUGGGAACAGUUUUGGUGAGUGUUUGCUGUAAUAACUUGGGUGACAGAAUGGAGAGCAUUUUUAUAACAUUUGCAGUGAUUCCAGCACGGAGUGCACAGCUGAGAUUUCAAAUGACCCUGAGAUACUGCAGAGCCAGUCUGAACUCAACACAUUGGAGCUCUAGGAGAAAAAAUGAUGUCGUGUGCCACAAAGGAGGAAUAUCACACGUCAAAUGAGCACUGUGAGGCACAACCAGUGCAGAGGAGACUCUGGGGACUGUAGUGCUCGCAGCCUGGGCAGUGCUGCAGAGCAGCCGCGCUGCUCCCAGCGCUCAGAGCAGGAGGAGCGGCUGGGAGACAUCAGAGGGCGUCAUUUGUGUUCCACUCAGCGCUAGGCAGGCUCGGCUGGAGCACUGUCCGGGCUCAGGCAUUGCACUCACCCUUACAGAAAGAUGCAGGCAAACCACAGAGGAGAAGAGCAACCACGACUGUAAGAGGCUUAGAAAUGUGAGCUGUGUGGAAGGGUGGAAUUCAUUCUUUGAGCUGGAAAAGAAAACACAAUGUAAGGGCUCAGCAGCUGUCUUCAAAUGUAUAAACACAUUUGUAAAGGUGACAGUAAACACUUGUCCUGUGACCGCAAAUGAUGGGACAAAAAGCAAUUUACUGAAGAGCAAUUAGGGAGAUUACUUUAGAUAUCAGGAAAAAAAACAAACAAACCAGACAAAACUAUUACCCUGCGAGUAGCUGGAACCUCAGGAGGUUGUAAAUCUGUUCAGCGGAGAUUUAAAGAAAAGAUUGGCUAAAGAGCUCUCAGGACUGGCUGUAACAUUUGUGCCUGGGGCAGGGGAGACUUCCAGCAACCUUCACUUGCCAGCCCGUAUUUCUGUGAGUUCUGGUUGCCCGUCGAGUUACAGUGAUCCUUUUAGGAGGAGGCACAAAAGGACAGCUCAUUACCACCCCAUAUGAUUAAUGCAGAGUUUUUCUACUAUUUAAUAAAUCGUCCCUGGCUGUGCUGUUUGGAUCAGGAUCCCAUUUCCAUCUGGAGACGGACAGGAGUGGAACUCUCCAUUGCAAGUAAGCAGUUUUCAAGUCCAGUUUUGGGCAAUAAUGACUGAAAAUGGUUAUUACUCAUGGUCAGUGUUAAUAUGAAUGUCCAGCAACUUGCUUGAUACCCACUGUAGGACUCACCCUCUCACUUGGACUCUGGCCUGGCAGGUUCAGGUGAGGUCAAGGACUUUGUGGACAUCACUGUGAGGAGUUGGUGUGAGACUGGCCAGUGUUAAAUCUGGUCUGGCAAAUGGAGGUCUUCCCUCUUCAGGCCUGUCUCUCCUCCAUCCUUCACGAGCACAGAAUUCCUGUGGGAACCAGAGGUGAUCCUGCCCCUGAGGGUGACCGGGAGUGCCCCAGCAGUUUUUCUGCAGUGAUCAGCUGUGCAUGGAGGACUGGACGACGAUUCCCAGAGUCAAUUAACUACUUUGUGCUCCUGGAGGAACUAGCAGUGCUGCAGAGAAAAAUUUCAAUCCCACUUUCAUUACUUUUACAGCCUGUGGCUACUUUUCCUUCUGUUCCUUUGAUUGUUGACAUUGAAAUCCUGUUCUAUCAGUUUCCCUGGUUUUUGAAGAUAAUUCCAGAAUCAUUCUGCACUCAGGAGCAGUGCUGCCAGGAAAACAAGGUAUUUCAACCUCACAGCACCUUUUACCUCUCACCUCCCAAACAAAUCAGGAGGAGAGGAUCCUUUGUUCUAAAGUACUGCAUUCCUUUUGGGGCACUCAGGGCAGGGAAAACAUCCCCAGGCUGGAGUGUGUUCAACGCAGGGCCACAAGGAUGGCCAGUGCAUGGAGUACCUGCUCUGCUGAGACAAGGGGCACUGGACUUGUGCAGCCUGGAGAAGAGCUGCCUUUGGGGACUCCUGAUGGCUUCCAGUGUCAACAAAAAGCUUAUCAGAGAGAUAGCAGGCUUUCAAAAGCCCAUUGGAUUGAGCCUGAGCAGCCAAGUCUGCUCUCCCAACUCACCCUGCCCUGUGCAGGAGGCUGGACUAGAGAGCUCCUGAGGGCUGUGCCAGCCUGGACUAUCUGGGAUGGAUUUUUGUUUGCAAUGUUGCUGCCAUCCUCAGCUCCCCCUGAGAUUAAGGAGACUGCAUUCAGCUCUGGCUCCUCAGGGUGAGCAGAUUUCCUGCAAGUGGACCCAGUUCUCCUGUCACUGCACGGUGAUACCUUUUUUUUUGCUGAUUUAUGGCCUAUGCAGGCAUUUUUUUUUUGCUUGCUUCUCUUGUCUUUUCUCAUGAACAGCUCCAUGACUCUUAGUGCAGUGCGUCUAGAGUGCACCUUCCCAUGGAUAAAGCUUCCAAACCUGUCCCUGAGUUUUAUUGCAAACAACCUGCUUAAACCAGCAAUUUAUCAUUUGCUGGAGCUCAGAGCUGCUUGGAUCCAAGGUAUUGUGAUACAGGGUUGCAAUAGCAGGGGACUGCACUCAGCAAGCCACAUUUCCAUGCUCCUCUCAUCUUGCAUUCCUCCUUCCACUGGAAUCAGCCUUCAGCAUGCCUACAAACCCCGAUCCACAGGAGCUCUGCAAGCCCUGCUUUGGGAGCUGUCCCUGCCAGCCACACCGCUGUGCUCUGGCACUGCAGCACUGCUCCUCUCUCCUGCAGUGCCCAGGGAAGGGAGAGCUCUGCCAGCCACGAGGAGUUGACCAAAAGCCUCAGAAUUGCUGUUCCAAGUGUGUCUCAAAGCUCUCAGAGCAGCUCCCCUCGAGCACACGGGGCAGGUACUGGUGUGUUUGGGUUUGGUGCCUUUUUCCAAGGAAUGCUAAAGAUUUCCUCACCUGCCCUGCUUGAGAUUACUGAAUUGAAAGAGCCUUGCAAGGAUCUGAGAAAUGCCUUCCCAAGCAUGUGCUUAAGCAGCAGCAUUGUUCAGCUUUAUGAGUGAGAAUGGAUAAUGCUCCUAAAUACUUCAUUACUGCGUCUGCCUCGGGUCAGAACCUGAACAGAACCUGUGCUCUUAAACACUUCAAGGGCAAGAGGGUCCUAAAUUCCAAACUAAAUUUACUGGUUCCCUGAUGAUAGAUCACUCAAACUGUCAAAUGUCACCAGGCACACAAUUUUCAGUAAUUUAUUUCUGUUCAAAAAUAUAGGUAAGAAGAGACCAACUCCCAUUACAUCACUUUUUCUAGCUCAGUCAAUUUUUAAUACUGGUGAUACAUCUAGUGGAUAGGAAAUAAUUAUCUAAGUCAUAAUACACUAGAUUCAUACAAAGAGGUAUUUUGUGUUGCAGCUUUUAAAAUGAUUUUGACAAUAUAAAGGAAAAAAUGUAUUAGGCAAAAACCAUCAUGCAUGACUCCUGUAACUGCUGUUACUAAAAGCUGGGGGGGAUACAAUAGAAUUGAAACAAUUUAAAUCUCAGUAUUUCUGCAAAUAAGGCAGUAGAUGGGACGUUGGUAGAUGGGGCAGAGAGAUCUGAGUUCCUCUGGACACCGGUGAAAUUCCUGCUCAGCCUGGGCUGAUUUUCCCUCUCUAGUUUGUUGUGCCUGCAAGCAGAACAUUUUCAGGAGCAAAAUGUGCACAUGCUCACUGCUGGAAAGCUUCUCUUUGGAAAGGGAAUCAUCUGGAGAGUAACUGGUGAAAUGGGCCCUGGGAGAGCUCUCAGGCUGGGUGGGAGGUGUGGAUAAUUCAGUGUGGAGCAGAGUCCUCACUGUAAUUACAGCCCCGCAUCCCAGGGAGCGGCGCUGGGGCCACUGGCACAGGAAUUUCCCGUCUCUGUGCCCGGGGUGGAGCUAUGCACAGCAAACACGGAGCUCCCAGCCUCUCCAGGGUUUGUGGCAGGCAGGUGAGCACAGGGAAUUCCUGCUGCCCCUCUGUGCUGCUGUUCCCAUGGAACCGUGCCUGGCAGCCCCGUCUGUGCCAUGCUGGGUGAGGGGUUUGGGGUGGGGAAGGGCAGUCCCAGUGCAGGGAUGGAGAUUUUGACCAUCCACCACCAUUGCCUCCCGGGGCUCACUGCAAUUCCACAUCUUUAUACGAGAGCGUGGAGUGACAGGAGCGGGGAAUGGCUCCACUCUGGCUUAGAUGGAAUAUUGGGAAGGAAUUGUUCCCAGGGAGGGUGGGCAGGCCCUGGCACAGGGUGCCCAGAGAAGCUGUGGCUGCCCCUGGAUCCCUGGGGCUGUUCAAGGACAGGUUGGAUGCCUGGGACAGUGGAAGGGGUCCCUGCCAGGGAGGUGGACUGGGAUGAGGUUUAAGGCCCUUCCCACCCAGGCCGUUCUGUGAUUCCACGAUCUCUAAUGAGAUUUUCCCUUUAACUUGGACCAGACCGAAAGUUCUGUUCUCUGAGAGCAAAGGCAUUUCCCUGAGGAGCCUCCCAGAGUGGUUCUGCACCCCAUGGCCAGAACGAGCUGCAGUGGGAGGCAGAGGGGAGCUCAGCCUGCUCGGACCCUGCCAGACCCCGCGGGCUCUCAGGGGACUCGCGGGCACCAGUGCCCCUUGGCUUUGCUGAGGGGACUUCCUUGGACUUUCCUGCUGAUUUCUUCAAUUCUUUCUUUGUGGAAGAGGUGUGGCUCUGUAAAACUCCCACACCCAUGAACCUGUAACGUAUUCAUCUCAGAUAAAACCUGGGAGUGAAAAUAAUAAAGGAACUCAUUAGUUUUUAGCUGUAUGUAGCUCUGAAAGAAAUGCUUUUGAUCCUGCUUCUAAAACUUCCCUGUGGGUUACUCUAUUUCUUUGGAAAGUAUAUAGCCCCAUAACACUGUUUCCUUUCUAAAAUAAUAAAUAAAUCUUCCAUGUGGCUGAAUGGUGAA